This 351-nucleotide ribosomal RNA is filed under the name uncultured bacterium. Its description in RNAcentral is "bacterial SSU rRNA". It matches the Rfam family "Bacterial small subunit ribosomal RNA", at positions 917 to 1292 of the family's 1533-position model. The record is from RNAcentral.
GGGCCCGCACAAGCGGUGGAGUAUGUGGUUUAAUUCGAUGCAACGCGAAGAACCUUACCAGGGUUUGACAUCCUGCGAAUCUCUUGGAAACGAGAGAGUGCCUUCGGGAACGCAGUGACAGGUGGUGCAUGGCUGUCGUCAGCUCGUGUCGUGAGAUGUUGGGUUAAGUCCCGCAACGAGCGCAACCCACGUCGUUAGUUGCCAGCAUUUAGUUGGGCACUCUAAAGAAACUGCCCGUGAUAAGCGGGAGGAAGGUGUGGAUGACGUCAAGUCCUCAUGGCCCUUACGGGUUGGGCUACACACGUGCUACAAUGGCAGUGACAAUGGGUUAAUCCCAAAAGCUGUCUCAGU